CCGCCACCGCCACCACCACCGCCACCAUCACUACCACUACCACCACCACCAUCACCAUGCUGGUCCUGCCGCCACGCAAACUGAAGUCUCGCACCGCGCCUCAGGUGCAUCGAUGUGACCAGUUAAGUUUCCAUUCCUCGAGAUCAGCGCAGCAACAAUGACGCAGAAAUAAAGCCAGCAGCACACAAUGGUGACCAGCGCCGCCAUUUCCUGGUGAUCAGAGCGCGGAGAAGUAUCAUGAUGGAGACAAAAGGAAAGAAGAGACACGGCAGCAACACGGGCCCUUGGUGCAGCGGUGGCACGUCCAUUCACAGGCCGUUCACGCUCCACCUCACAUUCCACACAGCGGCACGUGACUGUUCCGCUUCUCUGGGCCUGCCACGCCGCGGCGGCCACCUGUGCGUCCAGCGCGGGGUGUUUAUCAUAUGUAGCUUUGGGUUACGUGUGUGAGAGAAAAGCCGGGACUCCGCACCUCACCACCCCAUCACCCGGCAGACUCCCAGCGUGCCGGGGCAAGAGGGAGGUGCUCGCAUCAUGCAGAGAGGCGGCAUGCGGCAGGACGCCGUGGUGUGGCCUUGGGUGGUGGCGUGGGCGGCGGUGGCUAACGUGGCGGUGGGCGGCGGGGAGCAGAACACCACCACCUCUCGGCCCACGUCCAUGAUGCCCACGCCCGCGGCCACGCCCAUGACGUGUGAGGACGCUCGCAUCAAGUGUGCACUGCGGGAGGGCUGUGGCAUGGCGCUGCAAAACUACAUGCUGGGCUGCGCUGACCUCAUCUCUGGCAAGAGCGCGGAGUGUGACCCCUACUGCAGGAACUCCCUCAUCGCCCUCACCUCCACCGAGGAGGGGCACGCCCUUAUGGAUUGUGUGUGUAGCGACGACUACUGCCGGGAAAGCAAGCAGCGGGUGGAGGUGUGCCGCGUGGAGGUGCUGCGGGCCAAUGCUAACUCCACGGUGGUCACCUGCAGCGUGGCGCACUGGAUCUGCUCCGCCGACACCCUCUGCUCCACCGCCAUCACCUACUAUGACCGAUAUUGCCGCAAGAUGUUCCUGGGCAAAGAGUGCAGUUUCCGGUGCAACAACAGCCUGGGUAUCCUGCAGCGCCAGGCCAAGGCGGCCAAGCUGGCCAGCUGCACGUGUGACGGCACAGAGCCCUUCGACUGUGAGGGCAUCAAGAACAACACGGCGCGGUUGUGCUUCCCCCACUGGGAGAAGGCGGCGGAGGAGGAGCAGGACCUAGAAGAGGAGGAGGAAAGAACGAACCAGGUGGAUACAUCGGGGGCGACGACCCACUCCCUCAGCGGCUUGGGGGUCGGCAUUGACAGGGGCACGCUUUGGACAGCUCAACUCCCACUGCUGCUACUGCUGCUCCUGACGCCAGCACGGUAGCCGAGGUGGUGAAAGGAGAGAUGAGGAGCCAGAGAUCACCACCACUACUACCAUCACCAUAGCCACCACCACCACCACCACAGCCACCACCGGGAUCAGCGCGCCGUCCAACACUCACACACACUCAUGGGACGUUUAAGAACAAGGGCACACGAAGACAGGACAUGGCGCGCAGUGAUGAUUGAUAGUGACGGUUGUGACGGCUUGAUGACUCUGUACAUUGUCUGUAGGGAUGACGUGACCAGCCACCGUGUUCCUCCCGCCGUGGCUGUGGUCGCACUAAGGUUGUGAUACUCAGAAGGCGGUACUCCGAAACGCACCACGACUGUUUUCCGAAGCUACAAAGAUGAUAAGGCGGGUUCUCAUGAGUGUUUCUCCUUUUGAUAAUAUAGAAAUCUUGUUAAUGCGUCACUAGAACUAUAAUAUCACUAAAACUACAAAAGCCAGUUGUGUGUCAUGGAGAUGCAGCGCGGAAGUGUUUCAGAAUAUGAUUCCAGUUUGACCGCCUUCCAUCACGUCAGAACCUUGCCGCGACACCACUCGAAUCCAGAGCUCAAUGUGGAAGUAUAGUGGACCUUGGAAAUGUGGAGUGAGUUUUUUUUUCUCUGUCCACCUUCCAUCCAGUGUGAAAAUAAGUGGAUGUGAUAAAACUUGGAAAUGUGUAGUGGGUGUUUUUUGCAUCCCGCUCCAUUCAAUGUGAAGAUUAUAAACAAGAUGGAAAGAAGCUUCGAACACAACUUUCUUUUCGUUAAUUUGACCAGCGGAAAGACUGGCUGCAAGUUUACAAAGAGUGACAUUUUAUCUAUUUAUUUUUUUCUUAUUUACUUGGUCCAGUUAAAAGACUCGUUUCAUUCUUCGAAAAUGUGGAGUGACUUUUUUUUCAGUUCCAUUGUGUAAUCAAAAGGACCCUUUGCUGAGGUGUGUGUGUGUGUGUGUGUGUGUGUGUGUGUGUGUGUGUGAUUACAGGUAAAUGUGUGAAGUUGUACAGGUGUUUUGUGGUUGGUUUGGUUAUAGCUUUGUAUGUGUGUUCUAUAUUACUGUAGUGUGUGUGUGUGUGUGUGUGUGAUGUGGAGCGUAUGUUAUUGUGUGCGCGUGUGUCGAACCAGCCAAACUAGGUACUUAGGGCACUGCCUGUACUUAUCCCUCCGCGCUGCUGCACCUCAACCCUGGAGUGACCUGUCCUAACCGUGGGCAGCAGGGAGUGACCUGAGGGAAUUCUCAUGUCAAGGAAAGUGUGUGGGGGGGAGGUAGCGCCGCACGGUAAAUACGCGUUGCAAGUGUAGCGGAAGACAGGCUUACAGUCACUCUCCAAAUCAAAAACAAUGCAAUGAGCCAUGCAGUCGUACACGAAAUAUUAUAACUCCAAACUAAAUUAAUGCAGAAAAUGAGAGAGAGAGAGAGAGAGAGAGAGAGAGAGAGAGAGAGAGAGAGAGAGAGAGAGAGAGAGAGAGAGA
This 2843-nucleotide unclassified non-coding RNA is filed under the name Portunus trituberculatus (swimming crab). RNAcentral's name for it is "growth arrest-specific protein 1-like, transcript variant X3". The record is from RNAcentral. Lineage: Eukaryota; Metazoa; Arthropoda; Malacostraca; Decapoda; Portunidae.